This 425-nucleotide unclassified non-coding RNA is filed under the name fungal sp. RNAcentral's name for it is "partial internal transcribed spacer region". The stretch from base 1 to 46 matches the Rfam family "Eukaryotic small subunit ribosomal RNA", at positions 1786 to 1831 of the family's 1831-position model. Lineage: Eukaryota; Fungi. The record is from RNAcentral.
AAGUCGUAACAAGGUCUCCGUAGGUGAACCUGCGGAGGGAUCAUUAACACUAUUUGGCUGAGUGAAGAACAAAGUCGAAAGACAAUGAGACACACUCAGUUCAAAUUCUAACCACACUGUUGAACUAGGUUACCUUUGCGUAACCAAUCCUCCCUUUGAACGGAAAUGUUGAUGAAUGGUUUGUAGUGGGAUGACGCAAGUUAUCGACUAUUCAUUGACUAUCAAAGCUUCAUUGACUUUGGAAUUUCUGUUUCUUAGGCAAUUCUAACUAAUGUUUCCUCCACUAUAGAAAUGAACUCAUUUCACUCCUUCGUACUCCAAUUGACUGAUCUCAUUGCUACGAGACUCGAAAGGGACUCGAUAUAGCAGCCUUAAGAUAAUUCUUAAACUAAGCACAACUCUUAGCAACGGAUAUCUUGGCUCUC